This is a non-coding RNA of Pogona vitticeps (central bearded dragon), 700 nucleotides long. The record is from RefSeq and is a predicted model, not a curated record. NCBI's taxonomy places the organism in Eukaryota, Metazoa, Chordata, Lepidosauria, Squamata, Agamidae.
UGUGCAUGGUAUACCUUUUCUGCUUCCCUAGAGUGUUUUGCUGUGUGUGGAUAAAGAUCAAAUGACUGUCUGUCUACAGAUGCCAACAGAACUUGGACAUUUACUUUGAAGACCAAAGAGAUUGGAGCCAUUUAUAGGAUCAUAGUGCAAAAUUCCAUAUGUGCUUGUGAAGUUCCUUAGUAUCCUUGGAACAACACAGAAGUGAUGUCUGAGAUCCCAAACCAACUCCCUGGAACCCUCACACUCAUCUUCAGGGCAGAGCUGAGGGAUGGCUCCAUUGAAGAGCACACCAGAUGUAAUUGCCAAAAAAAUUGUGUGUUGAGAGAAAUAUUGCAACAUGGGUAUGGCCACUCACAAAGGAUCAAAUGCCCAGAAUGCAAACAGGUUGCCUACCCCAAGGAAAGGGUUUGGAAACUGGAACAUAGCUUUCUAGUCUACAUUCUGAGGAGCAGGUUAAAGGGUUUGUAUGUUUCUCCAUCGUCUGUGUUGCACUUACUCAACCCUUCGCUUCACCAUUUCAAAAGCAGGACUUCAAAGUAUCAGGCACAGAGGAACUACAGCCACAUCACAGCUGUUCUUGCUUCUUUCCCUUUUUCAACAACAACAGUGCAGAUUGAAGACUCAUCUUCUGGGAUCUCUAGUACGGGGUAAUUCUACAUGAGGGUACAAAACCUGUCCAUGGAAGCUCACAUUAAAAUAU